Molecule: long non-coding RNA, 8731 nt
Organism: Mirounga angustirostris (Northern elephant seal)
Lineage: Eukaryota; Metazoa; Chordata; Mammalia; Carnivora; Phocidae
Exons: 3
Source: RefSeq, a predicted model, not a curated record
AGCGAGAGAGGGAUGCGCGGCGCGCGGGGCGGCGGGGGAGGGAGGCGGCCGGGAGGGUAGGGCCCGGCCCCGUUGCGGCCGCUCGGGGCGGGAAGACCACGGCCGCGCUCCCGCUCGCUCGGAUCGGGGAACUCCCCCGAGAGCCGGUCUCUACUUGUCAUGCAAAAAAACUUGGGCGUCUCUAGGAGCCUAAGAAUUUCCUUUAUGGACGUGGAAACCUCCCCCCCCCCCCCCCGCCCAACUUCCCCAUUUCCCCAUAUAAUCUAAUCUUCCCUGUCUUGAUGACAAACGGAAUUAUAUAAUAAUUAGUAUUGUCAUUAUGAUUUUGUCCGUGUACCUCUGAUCCCUUUCUUCUCCCUCGCCCCCCCCCCCCCCCGCCCCACGGUUAUGUUAGGGUCAAGAAAAAAAAAAAAAAAUCAGACUAGCUCCUGGCUGCAUUUCUGGAGCUUUGCAAAGCUUUUUACUAGCACUUUCCGUGCCCCUGCGGAAGCACGAACUUUUCACGCGUUUGAAAUGCCCCAAUUGCCUUCCCUGGGGUCACUCGCCAGGGCGCCCUGGGCGCACCCAGCUCCGGGCACGCGGCCCGCCCUCGCGGGGCUAUUCAAAUUGCCUUGGGCAACGGCGCGGGGAACCGCUGCCGGUUUCUUGGUGGGCCGCGCCGGGACCCGGGGCUAGCGGCUGCCUCCAGCCCGCACGCUUCCCUCGCCUCGGAAGAGACGCGAGUGAAAUCGCAGCCCGCGCGGGGAGAGCGGGGCCCGGGGACCGGGGAAUCCCAGAAAACCUCCAGAGACCAAACCAGCAAUGGUAAACUGUGCACUCAGCCCUAGGAGGCUCUAAGGAAAGUGAGGCUCUGUGGGGCUUAGCUGACUCAUCUUGGGCACCCAGAUGGAGCAUCAGCAGUGAGAGCCGCACCCACCCUGCUCCCAGGAAUCUGAUGUCUUCAUGCUGGCAGCUCAGCUGAGCACGCCUCCCUGAAGCCUCUCCGCUUCCAAAAUGGUUACUACCUUUUUUCUUCAGCUUCCUUUUUCAUCAAGCUCACAUCGACUCAAACCUGAUGAUCUCAGAGAGAUGUAAACAGAAAAGCCAACUAAUCAAGCCUCAAGUGUGAAUAACUGCUUUUUCUUUCCUGGGAUUUUGCAUCUUAAGCAUGUUAACCCAUAUUCAUCUACAAUUAGUGGAAUCCCCAAGGAAUUUACAGGGGACUGAGGUUACAGGGUGCGGAUAUAUGGGCAACAGACUUCUCUUCAUUCUUUUAACUUUUCAACUCACAUGAAAGCUCCCUUCCCUUUUGGUGAGGGCCAAUCUCUAGAGGCUCUGCAUUUAUUUCCCAAGAAGAGUUACUGCUUAGGGAUUAGCAGUCACUUCCAGCUGCCAUCAUGAGUCUGACACCAAGAAUGGAGCUUUGUUCGUGGAGCAUGAAAGCAGCUUGAAGAGUCCUGCUGAUUGGCAUAAACCCAUGAGGAAAUAAAAAUUUUUCAUUCAUGUGCGCGCACACACACACACAAUGUAGGAUUUUUUUUCCUCAUCCGUAGGCAGACACAAUUCCAAUUGCAUUGGGCACUAUUUCAUCUUUCUGGUAUUUGAAUAUAGGAAAAUACAGGUGUGAUUGGGGCUUGGUUAAAUCCUGAAUUAUCAAGUGGCAUGCGUAGAUGCUACAAGCUUCAAGUUUGGUCUUUGGUUAACUUACUCUCUAGAGGUCUCAGAAUCUUGGGGAAAAUGAGUACUCUGUGUAAAUGUUAUUUAUGUUUGCUGAAUAUGUGUAUUUACAAGGAUUCUUUUCAGGGCAGUGUUCACAAAUUGUUGCAAUGUAUCAUUUUUGUUAAUUGCAUUGUAUACACUUACACAUAAUUUAUUGGUAGAAAUAAAUUGAUUUAUGCUUUAUUUUAUUUUUUUGCACCCCUUUCCUGGGGUUUAACCAGGAACCAGGAAGAUCAAAGUGUUCUAGGAACACAGAACCACACGUUUCCUCAGUCUGAGCACAGAACCAUGAAGGUAGCAAGACUUGUACAUUACGUUCUCAAGAGCUAAAGGAAGGAGGGAUUUACCAAACUGCUUAUGUGAAAAAAAUUAUGAGGUAGACCUUAAUAGAAUAGCCUCAACUUUCUUCAAUGUGGAUAAUCCACCUCUUGCCUCCACAAUACUGCUAAAACAAUUCACAGGCUAAUUCACCAAUUAACUUCUAACGGUCAUGUUCUAAGGCUUCAUUUUAGUCCUGAUAGUAUGCAGUUGGCACAUUCUCUUAUUGACCCUUCAGUUUUGGGGUUCCCAUCCAUUGUCGUCUACUCUCACUCUUCUUCAAAGUUCUCAAGGUGGAAACCCACAAACUGGAUAAAGUACACAGGUUUAUACAAUUUGGGCUCAAUAGUGUUGCAGGCAAAUUUAAGAAACAAUAUAUAAAACCUGAAAUCUUCACUUAUUCAUUUGGAUUUUCCAAGUUUUGAAAAACGGAAAGAUCUGACAACCCUAGACCAACAUUUAUGCAGGGCAAUGAUUUGUCGGAAGUAAAUGGAAGUUGCUCCAUAGAGAUUGGACGCUUGGUCUCCAGUUGCCAUGGUCCUCACUUCUCCUCGUUGCCUUAAAUCCCUGACCCACCCCUUUAACUCGUUCACAUACGUGAGCAUUUGCAACUAUUUCUCGUAUAUUUACCCUGUGUGAUUUCAUCCUUUCUUACGGUUUGAACUCCCUGACUCUAAAAUUUGACUCCAGAACACAUUUGUAAACACCAAAUAAUAUCUCUGUUCCUCCAAAAUGUACUUAUAGAUUCCUCAUUCUCAACGUCCCAAACCAAGCACAUUACUUUUCUUAUAAGCCACCAAAUUUGCUUCUCCUCUAGUUCCUGUAUAGUUAAUAGCGUUGUCAUCUGUUAUAGUGAGUUUUAUGUAUCAACCUGCCUAGGCUCUAUUCCCUGAUUAUUCAAAUAAACACUCCUGCUGAGAAGAUAUUUUGUACAUGUGGCUUAAUAUCUGCAAUCAGAUGACUUUAAGUAGAGGAGAUGAUCUUUGAUAAUCUGAGUGGGCCUCAUUUAACCAGUUGCAAAGCCUUGAGAGCGAAACUACGACUUCUCUGAAGAACUUCAGCCUUACAGUAGCAACAGCAACUCCUGCCAGAGGGUUUCCAGCCCGCUGGCCUGCCCAACACCAUUCUGACUUGCCAGCACCCACAGUUUCCCUGCUUCUGUUUCUCUGGAGAGCGCUGACCUAUAAGGUUCCAGGUGGUUCUGCCAUCGACACCUUUGCUGCAAGCAUUUUCGCCAAAAAUGAAUUGGCCAUAAGGCAAAUCUGCCAUAAAAGAUAAAAAUCACACACACACAGACACACACACACACACACAAAAUAUAAGAGGGACUUCAUGUCCUUUUUAAUAAAGAACAUAAUGAAACAUGAAAACUUCAUGUUUAAUAAUAAUUAAUAAAUAAUUAUUAGUUUAUUCCUGCAUCUAAACAUGUAUCAGUUUUCCAAAUACUAGGAUGCAUAUUUGUUACUGAGCUUUGUGAGAGCCUACGUUGUUGUUUGUUCUUGGCGUAUUGUCACAUGUCCGUCGAUAGACAUCCCGAAGUUCCAUUGGAAAUGUGGAAGAAAUGCUAACACUGUCAUGCAUUUGUAACUGAGGUUUGUGAUCAUCUUAAAUGGUAUGUUAUCAUUUCCCAUAUAGUACGCAAUAUAGCUUUAUAAGCUCUUAUUCACACUUACAGAGAGUUUUAUCACUGUAUUUUUUAAGUCGAUAUAUGUAGUAGUUAACUACCAUUUUAAGACCACUGUGUCUACUCGUCACUGUAUAGACCAUUAUGAAGGCUGGCUAAGAUUUGUGUAAUGUAAAAAUGGGAACUUUGUCAAUGGAGAAAUGAAACCAAACUGACAACUAGCUUCAAUACAGUAAUUCUGCUGAAGAUGGUUGUUUUGUAACGGUGAAAUGAAACCAAACUGUCUCCCCAUUAUUUUAUCCCCCUAUGGCAAAAUUGCCUUACGGCCAAUUAGUUAUGUGGUAAAAAUGUUUGUGGUAACAAUGUUUGCAGUGAAAAUGCUUGUGGCAAAAAUGUUUACCACAAAGAUGCUAACAGUGAAAAUGCCAGACACUACUGAUACUCCAUCCACCUAGAUAAGCAAUGUUAAGAAUAUAAGAGACUUCCUUAAUGCUUCCUCCUUCUUAUGGCUUUCAUCUGUCACACCCCUUUCAAAUUAUUCUUUAAAAUAAUGAUCAGAUAUGAUUUAUAAUUCUAUAACUCAGAUCUUUUCCCUAUUGCUUAGAGAUCAAAAUCUAGACUCCUAAGUAGGGUACACAUGGAUAUUCAUUUUCUGGUUCCUGCAUACUUCUCCAGACUCAUCUCUUUGCUGAGCUACCUACUUCCCUUGUACCUACUGUCUAAAUGGAAAUGCUUCCAUAUUUUUAACAUACCUUUAUAUUCUAUUCCUCUAUGCCUAAGCUGCUCCCACGACCUGAAAUAUCCUUCUUUAUAGAGCACCUGGCAAAAAUCUACUUAACUUUCAAGACAUGGUUGAAAUGUUUUCUCUUCUGUGAAACCUCCCCACCCUCCCCUUUUCCCAGCAGAAUUGAUCCACUCUUCCUUGGUACCCCAGCCUCCUCUUGCAUGCUUCACCCAUGUAGAGCCAUAAUAUAGGAAUGUAGUUCAUUUGCUCGUUCAUAUGUUUGUCCUGUGUUAAACUGUGACGCUUAAUUCAUUAUGUAAUUUAGGAGAGCCUUGUGGCAACAACUGCUAAUGACCCCAUCAAUAUCCAUUCUCCUCUUCUGCAGUAAUAGAACUUCUACCUAGGCACAUGGCCAGCUAGAACAAAGGUUACAUUUUCAGCCUUCUCUACAACUUGGUGUGGCUAUGUGACUGAGCUCUCACCGAUGGAAUCUAAGUGACUGUGUCCUAUGCCAACAUCUAAGAACCACCAGAGGCAGUUUUCACCAGCUCUUUGCCCUUUAUACUUCCCUUCUCCCAACUUACUCUUUGGAACAUGGAUGUGAUGACUGAAGUUCUAUCUUGGUUCUUGAAAAAAAAACAAAAAACAAAAAACAAAACCUACUCUUGGCAUGGUCAAGUAGAAAGCUGCAGGAGCCUGGGUCCCUGAGAACUUUGUACAGCAAAGCCGCUAGACCAGCCCUAGCUUACUCACCUCUGCACUUUUACCCAGGGAACAAAUGAAUUUUCACCAUAUUUAAGCUGCUCUUUCAGAGAAAGCAGAUGUAUCACUCACAACCACAUAAAAUUCUAAUAUAUGAAUGGUUCUGGCAAUGUCUUCAAUCAACACUCUUUAAGCUUUUAAAUUAGGAAUGAUGCCUAAAGAUUUGUUACUGGGUCCCAGUCGGAGAGGGGCUCAUAAUCUCAAAAUCGAGCUGGCUGGGUUUUAAAGCUUGCUUGCAAUGUUUACAUGUGGGCUUCCUGUUGUUUGUACAGGGCAUCCUCUGCAUUUCAACCUAUGGACUUGGACUUAGUUUGAGCUCCGCUCCCUGGGGAACCCAACCUUUGAUAUAUUGUGCUCCACUUGGCAAGUAUCUGACUGACUAAGCCAGCUCCAUCUCUGACAAGUAGGGAUGAGUUAGCAAAUCAAACAAGGGGGAGGGUGGCUAGGUUAGAGCCAAGACUGAGGUGAGUUCAGAGGCCAUGAGCUGAGUGAAGUGCCAGCAGCAUGGCAAAGAAUUUGAGCCCAUACUUGGUGCACUGGAAAAGCAGGAUCAGGAGAAAAAUAUGCCAGACUGUUGCUAGGGUGAUUUGAUUUGCCUUUUCAAAGGCCUGUUUAUGCCCAGAUGUAUUACGACACAGCAUGACCACUUUCCAACAUGGGUAUAGGAUAUAGACACUCUCAAAUACUCUGUGGGAGUACAAAUUGGAGAAAAUAUGACAAGUCCCUUAGAUAUUUUAAAUGUGCGUUCAUUAGGAGCCAAAGAUUUUUUUAAAAGUGGGUAAGGAGCUCAGAAGAAACACUGGAAACACGUGUCUUUAUAAUUUAAUAUUGUUCAAAAUGUCUUACUUAGGCAAGAAGACAAGCAGACCCACAUUCACAUAUAUCCUCUAUUCCCAACAGUAGUAACAAGAACUAAAUUUAGCAAGAAACACAUAAAACCCAUAUAAAGAAAACUACUAUUUCACUGGAGUUUUUAUGAAGGCUAAAAGUCUCUUUGUUGAUGCCAUCAUUCUGAUGUAUAGAAAACCAAAAGAAAUAACUGAUAGCUUAACAUUAGAGAUCAGUAAUAUGGCUAGAAGUAAAGGAAAUACAUAGAAAUAAUUAUACAUGGCAAUAUUAAUUACAGAAUGUAAUGGGGGAAAGGUAGAAUUUAAAUCAAUGAAUAACUGAUUAAUCAAUAAAUAGUUUUGGGAAAUUUUGAUAGCCAAAAUAGGAAAAUAAAAUUAUAUUCUUUCCUCACAUGGCAUACACACAACCCAGAUGAUUUAAAUAUGCAAAUAAAAGGGUGCCUGGAUAGCUCAGUCGGUUAAGCGUCUGCCUUUGGCUCAGGUCAUGAUCCCAGGACCCUGGGAUGGAUCCCCGUGUAGUCGGGCUCCUUGCUCUGCGGGGAGCCUGCUUCUCAUUCUCCUCCCUGCUCAUGCUCUCUCUCGCUAUCUCUAUCUCUCUCUCAAAUAAAUAAAUAAAAUCUUUUAAAAAUAUGCAAAUAAAGAAUAUGAAGAAUAAAAUAUGGGAGACUUGGAGCGCUAAAACAAAAUAUAGGAGACUAUUUUUUGAUAUGAAAAAUGCCUAUUGAGACCCUCAGUAAAAAGUUCAAAACUGAAAGAGAUCUUGACAGUCAAUGAACAUGUGUAUGUUCUCCCUCUAAGUAGGCCCUAUCCUUUGCCAGCCUUUCUGUUCUCUUAUUUUAUGGAUAUUUUAUGGAUAUGGCAGGCAAAAUCUGCCUGGCUUUUCCUGACAUUUGCAUACAUCUGAACUUAUUUGACGAGAUUACGUCUGGCUUUAUAGAGAAGUGGGGAGAAGGCAGAAAGAGAGAGAGACAGAUGGAGACACAGCGAGAGUGAUUUACAUGGAAAAGAAGGAAGACAGUGAUUCAGAUGUGGUGAGGGCUGCUUGGGGCAGCGCCCCGAUGAACCAAUCCCCAGCUCUGGGGUCACAGCUCUUUAAAGAUCGCUGAGUGUGGUACGGAAACAGCAGAAUCAUCAGACACCAAGGGACCACGAGGCCUCGGAAAACCAGUGUCUCUGCAGUAGCCCUGUGGACAGAAGCCUAGAGCUCUCUGCCACGCUAUAGUAGUUUAAGAACCCUCCAGGGACUACUCAAGACCUUGUGGCUUGGCCUGGGGUCCGAAUUUGAGGGAGAUCCCCAAUUAGGGUGUAAUUUAAUCCCCUCUUCCAUGUGAACAGGAUAGUCCUCUGAGUCUAAUUUGAGUUUCUUUUAAAUAAAUAAAAUAAAUGACAUUUCUUACAUACCCAGGUUUGAACUGACUUGACCAUUGUUAAGCAGCGUGGGGAGAAACAGACAGCACGAGAAAAUAAGCGUAACUAUGCCGGAGGCCUGUUUGACGGUGUGGGUCAACAUGUAAAAUGAGCAUGCUUUGUCACUAGCCAUCUUAAUCCCAGGACUUCACACCAAAGAACUUUCCUUAUUGAGUCAAGUAAAUAGAUGUACUGCAAAACUGCUUAUAAUGGCAAAAAGAUUUUGGGAAACUGCAUGCUUUUUAGGAGACUGAUUAAGUAAGUUAUGAGCUAAAUCAUGUACAUACAUACAAUGGAAUAUUCUGAAGCAAUAAAAGUGAUUAUAUGCUCAAAAUCUUUGGUCACAUCUCUCCUGCCUUCCAAUAUCAGAGCUCCUGGUUCUCAGGCCUUCAAACUCUGGGACUUACACCAGCGGACCCAGUUCUCAAGUGUUUAGCCUCAGAUUGGGAGAUACACCAUUGGUUUUCCUGUUCUGAGGCCUUCAGAUUCAGAGUGAAUUAUACCACCAGCUUCCCUGGUUCUCCAGCUUGUAGAUGACAGACUAUGGGGCUUCUCGGCCUCCAUAACUGCCUGAACCAAUUCCUAUUAUAAAUCUCCUCUUAUCAAUAUCUAAUAUAUCCUAUUAGUUCUGUUGCUCUGGAGAAACUUGACUUAUCCAAGUACUGAUGCUGAUACUUUUCUCCAAAUAAGUCAUAGGUUCCCAGUGGACAUCUCUCUUGUGGGGGCACCAAGCCAUACCCUAGAGAUGUGCAGCAAAAUACUUCAGUGUAAAUUCUCGAAGGGUAUGAUUUCAAGAGAUUUUUACUUUUUCUUAUGCUGAGCUAUAUUUUAAAAUAAGGAACAUGCAUUGUUUUUCCAAAACCCAUAGAAAAAAAAAAAAGAAAGGAAUGUUAACAACGAGAGUUUGCUGGGGUGUAGAGAAUUGAGAGUUUCAUGUACCAUUGGUAUAAUUGAAAAUUGGUAGAGCUUUUUGGAGGGCAAUUUGACAGUUCAAUUUCUAAGAAUGUAUCCUGUAGGAGUAUUUGUACCCUUGCACAAAGAUAUAUGCUCAAUGAUGCCCAUUAUAGGAUUGUUUGUGGUGGCAAAAAUGAAAAAAAUAAUCACUUUUUGUGGUCUAUGUCCUCUAGGCAAAGUCUCCUUAUGAGUCUAGUGUAAGAGUAGGCAAACAAUUAUGUAUUACACAACCAUGAGAAACAGAGGAGAGGGAUCCUUUUCUGUAUGUUGACACAGAAUGUUACAAUAUAUUGUUUAUUUAAAAUAGUAAGUGAAAAACAGUAUGUAGAGUGUGAUCUUAUUUAACAUUACUACAGGCAUGCCUCCUUUUAUUGCAAUUUGCUUUGUUGCACUUCA